GAAAGGCGUAGCCGAUGCACAGACGGUAGAGAUUCCGUCCCCACCGAAAGAUUUAAGCGCAGGGACACUUUUAGAAGGUCGGAGCCAGGUGUUGGUUCUGGUAGAGAUCGAGGGAAAUUUAGUACCGAAGUCCGGCUGGAUAAGAGGCGAGAAAAGCUGCGUGUAUAUCUAAGGUGCCCGUACCGCAAACCGACACAGGUAGGUAGGAAGAAGAUUCUAAGGCCAACGGGAGAAGGGUUGUUAAGGAACUCGGCAAGUUGACCCCGUAACUUCGGAAUAAGGGGUGCUCAUGAAAGUGAGCCGCAGAGAAUAGGCCCAGGCAACUGUUUACCAAAAACACAGGUUUGUGCUAAAUCGAAAGAUGACGUAUACGAGCUGACGCCUGCCCGGUGCUGGAAGGUUAAAAGGAGAUGUGCAAGCAUUGAAUUGAAGCCCCAGUGAACGGCGGCCGUAACUAUAACGGUCCUAAGGUAGCGAAAUUCCUUGUCAGGUAAGUUCUGACCCGCAUGAAAGGCGUAAUGAUCUGGGCACUGUCUCAACAGCCCGCCCGGCGAAAUUGUAGUACCGGUGAAGAUGCCGGUUACCCGCGACAAGACGGAAAGACCCCAUGGAGCUUUACUGUAGCCUAAUAUUGGGUUUCGGUGUUGCAUGCACAGGAUAGAUGGGACGCUAGGAAGUGAGUGCUUUGGCAUUCAUGGAGCGGCCGUUGGGAUACCAUCCUUGCGACAUUGGAAUUCUAACCUGCGCCUUUGAAUCAAGGCGGGGGACAUUGUUAGGUGGGCAGUUUGACUGGGGCGGUCGCCUCCUAAAGAGUAGCGGAGGCGUUCAAAGGUUGGCUCGUCCUGGACGGAAACCAGGAGAGAGAGUGCAAACGCAAAAGCCAGCCUGACUGCGAGACUGACGGGUCGAGCAGAGACGAAAGUCGGAGUUAGUGAUCCGGUGGUAUGUGAGUGGAAAUGCCAUCGCUCAACGGAUAAAAGUUACCCUGGGGAUAACAGGCUGAUCUCCCCCAAGAGUCCACAUCGACGGGGAGGUUUGGCACCUCGAUGUCGGCUCAUCGCAUCCUGGGGCUGAAGUCGGUUCCAAGGGUUGGGCUGUUCGCCCAUUAAAGCGGUACGCGAGCUGGGUUCAGAACGUCGUGAGACAGUUCGGUCCCUAUCUGUCGUGGGCGCAGGAUAUUUGAAAGGCGCUGUCCCUAGUACGAGAGGACCGGGAUGGACGAACCUCUGGUGCACCAGUUGUCACGCCAGUGGCACAGCUGGGCAGCUAUGUUCGGAUCGGAUAAACGCUGAAAGCAUCUAAGCGUGAAGCCGGCCUUAAGAUAAGAUAUCCCACUGAGAUAAUCAGGUAAGACCCCUUGAAGACUACAAGGUUGAUAGGCACAAUGUGUAAGUGGCGUGAGUCAUUGAGCAAGCGUGUACUAAUAGGUCGAGGGCUUGACCC
This 1443-nucleotide ribosomal RNA is filed under the name human gut metagenome. Its description in RNAcentral is "bacterial LSU rRNA". It matches the Rfam family "Bacterial large subunit ribosomal RNA", at positions 1404 to 2925 of the family's 2925-position model. The record is from RNAcentral.